AUGAACGUCAUCUGAUUUAGUGGAGCAUUGAAUCACUUCCCCCCUGCCUUAUCAUCUCUUCAUCUGAUUACAUGAGGGUUCAGCGAGAAAAGGAACCUCAUAAUCAACAGUACAUCUGUAAUGCCUCUUACAGUGUGUGAUGUCUCAGCCAACCGUUACCACUGACUUCUAUGGAUUACGGUACCUGCCACUCUGGCUUCGUUCUAACGUAUCUGAUGGCCGGAGCUUGAGCAGCCAGUGCACACUGAGGAAGGCGUGA
Molecule: long non-coding RNA, 259 nt
Filed under: Vulpes vulpes (red fox)
Lineage: Eukaryota; Metazoa; Chordata; Mammalia; Carnivora; Canidae
Description: lncRNA (ENSVVUG00000021528.1)
Source: RNAcentral